Molecule: ribosomal RNA, 384 nt
Filed under: uncultured bacterium
Lineage: Bacteria
Description: bacterial SSU rRNA
Rfam family: Bacterial small subunit ribosomal RNA
Source: RNAcentral
AUUGAACGCUGGCGGCAUGCCUUACACAUGCAAGUCGAACGGCAGCACGGGAGCAAUCCUGGUGGCGAGUGGCGAACGGGUGAGUAAUAUAUCGGAACGUGCCCGGUCGUGGGGAUAACGUAGCGAAAGCUACGCUAAUACCGCAUACGAUCUACGGAUGAAAGCGGGGGAUCGCAAGACCUCGCGCGAUUGGAGCGGCCGAUAUCAGAUUAGGUAGUUGGUGAGGUAAAGGCUCACCAAGCCGACGAUCUGUAGCUGGUCUGAGAGGACGACCAGCCACACUGGGACUGAGACACGGCCCAGACUCCUACAGGAGGCAGCAGUGGGGAAUUUUUGGACAAUGGGCGCAAGCCUGAUCCAGCAAUGCCGCGUGCAGGAUGAAGG